This is an RNA transcript of Musa acuminata AAA Group (dessert banana), 2630 nucleotides long. RefSeq lists it as uncharacterized. The record is from RefSeq and is a predicted model, not a curated record. The transcript has 9 exons. NCBI's taxonomy places the organism in Eukaryota, Viridiplantae, Streptophyta, Magnoliopsida, Zingiberales, Musaceae.
GAUUGAUAUGAAGCACAAAAGUAACUAUGAUUUGUGCUUCCAAUAAAAAAACUCCCAUCCUCCAACUCCCAACCCCCAACCCCUUCUUCCUUUCCCCUCUUUGUUGUCUCCCUAGAAAAUUGCAUUAAAAGCUCCACCCCUCCAUCGAUUCAACUGUCUAUACCCUAUUAAUAUAAGAUUUGGAAUGGUAUAUGGAAUGUAGCAAUCAUUUAGGAGGGUUUCAUUGGACUGUCGUCUAACUGAAGAGAUUAACUUCAACGACAUAUUUUUAAGUUUUUAAGUCUUAUAAACAUAUAUAAAUAUGCAGAAUUUAAAUUUGGAGGCAUAAAUGUGAAAAUUACUUUUUUUUAUUGGCAUUAAUACUCUUUUAAGUGAUUUAUCAUGAUUGUAGGAAUUUUAAGAUACAUUGGACUCUUUUUAAGUUCAAAUUAAAAUACGAUAAAUACGAUUUUUAAUGAUUAAUUUAAAGUUGUUUUGGGUGGAUGUUACCAAAGGGAUAUUUAUAGAGAACAUAUAUGCAAAAUUAAGAUUCAGAGGAGCAGAUACGUUAGUUCCGAACUCUGAAAGGACAAAUAGGUAAAAGAGGUCCUUUUCCGUAAUUAAAUUCGGUCCCACCACCACCACCAUGUUAUUAGGUGGCGGAAGCCAACAAUUUUGAAGGCAGUUUCAUCAGCCCACCAAACAACUGAUCAGAUUUCGCCGCAGCCGUCCGAUCUCGGAAUUCAAAGUGAAGCACCAUGCUCACUUGCCUUGUUUCGUAACACCUUCCCCACUCUCUCUCUCGCUCUCUCUCUCGAUCGACGCCACCUCGCCCUCUUCGCCUCUCAUGUCUCGCACCGCCUACGACGAAGGCGUCGCGCCAGCGAACGUCCAGCUCGCCAACGGGGAGCAUGCCCGCCGGACGCGGGAGGGCGGCUGCUGGAGGUCCGAUCCACCUGGCCUCCGUCGGGUGCCUGAGGAGUGGAGGCGGCUCCGACGGUGCCUCGAGGCCGCAGCCAAAGGUUUCGCUAUAGGCGCCGGCCUGAAGGGAGGACUCGCGUUAUUCUCGGUUCUUGUGCGACUGAGGAGCCGCAGAUCCUUGAGGUCUUCCGCCAGAAAGGCGGGGGUUUUCACGAAUAAGGAGGCUGUGGUUGUGGCGUUGGAGGAGACGUUGAGAUAUGGGAUGUUUCUGGGAACCCUUGCAGGAACAUAUGUUUCGGUGGACGAAGUUAUUGCUGCAUUAGGUGGGCACAAGAGAACUGCAAGAUGGAGGUCGUUACUAGCAGGGUUGAUUGCUGGUCCAUCAAUGCUCUUGACCGGACCAAAUAAACAACACACUAGCUUGGCUAUAUACAUUCUUAUGCGUGCUGCGGUAUUGGCAUCACGUUGUGGGAUAAAGAGCAAACUAUUUGGUGGUGUUUGUAGACCAUUGACUUGGUCACAUGGUGACAUAUUUCUUAUGUGUCUCGCCUCUUCACAGAUCUUGCCUGCUUACAUUCUGAAGCAAGACAGCUUGCCAUCAUCAUACAAGUCAUUUCUUCAUAAGCAUGGUGGAAAGGAUGCUGUUAUUCUGCAAAGUAUGAGAGAAAUUGCAUCCAAUAUUUGUUUUUCUAAUUUAGAUGGGGUUAAGAAGUAUUACAAGUCCAUCGGUGUUGAUGUGAAGCUAGAUCCUAAUAUGAAUGUCCCAUGCUCGAUUGUGCAUGGCAAUCAAUCUUGUUUUGAGCAUUUCAUAACUUUCCUUUUCCAAGAAUAUGGAAGAGCACUACCAGUUUAUCUUCCAGUCUACUUGGUUCCUGCACUGGUAGUUCAUCGUCAGGGUCUUUGGAAAAGGCCUUACACAAUCUUGGGGAAGAGUCUUCUGGGGACUGCAAGAUCUAGCUUGUUCCUCUCUGUAUAUUGUGCAUCGGCCUGGGCUUGGACAUGCCUGCUUUUUCGACUUUUUAAAAGAUGUAACAUUCCGAUGGUCGUGAUUGGCACAUUCCCUACUGGCCUGGCAUUGCUAAUUGAGAAGAAGAGCAGAAGGACCGAGAUUUCUUUGUAUUGCCUUGCCCGAGCAAUCGAAAGCUUCUGCACAUGCUUGGCAGAUGCUGGAGUGUUCCCUCAAGCAUCAAAGCUAAAGCGAGCUGAUGUGAUCGUAUUCAGCUUUGCAACAGCCAUCAUCAUGCACUGCUAUGCACAAGAAAGAGAGGUGUUCCGGUCAAAGUAUUUGAAUGUGCUCGACUGGGUCUUUGGUGUCCCCCCACCAUAUGAUGAUGAACAUUGCAAGAAAUCCUAAAUUAUCGAUACCGUGCUACACGAUAUCUAGAUCAAUAUGCCGAUGUAGAUUAGAUUUUGUUAUAGAGAGAUGAACCGGGAUAGCUGGAAGAAGAUAUAAUGAGACCACUGGCUUCAUUUCCCUGGUCAACCAUCCUGAGCUUUUCUGUUAUGACAUGGAUCUUGCUCUCACAGCAAGUGUUGCAGCUAAAGUGAGAGGCAAAGAAGCUGGCAUUGACAUGACAGUGGAGCUUUGAAGGAGGCUUCAAAGUUUCUAGCAGCAUAAGAUUCCUCAGAAAUUUCGAUUCCUUCAAGCCAUUGUACCACAAACAUUAUAUUCUUUCUAUUACUUAUUAGCAUAUUACAAAUUAUUAUGUAGCUUCUCCAGUUAGUAUGUA